GACGAACGCUGGCGGCGUGCUUAACACAUGCAAGUCGAACGGAAAGGUCCUGCUUUUGUGGGGUGCUCGAGUGGCGACCGGGUGAGUAACCCGUGAGUUACCUGCCGUUGACUUUGGGAUGACUUCAGGACACUGGGGCUCAUACCGGGUAGGAGCUCCUGCUGCAUGGUGGGGGUUGGAAAGUUUCGGCGGUUGGGGAUGGACUCGCGGCUUAUCCGCUUGGUGGUGGGGUAGUGGCUUACCAAGGCUUUGAGGGGUAGCAGGGCUGGGAGGGUGAGCGGCCAAACUGGGCCUGGAAUACGGCACAGACCACUACGGGAGGCAGCAGUGGAGAGGAGUGCACUAGAGGCGGAAGGCUGAUGCAGCAACGCCGCGUGGGGGAAGACAGCCAGGGGUUUGGAUUCUGCUGCUGUCUCUGAUGAGGCGAUAGUGACGGUAACAGGAGAAGAAGCCCCGGCUAACUACGUG
RNAcentral lists this ribosomal RNA (468 nucleotides) under uncultured bacterium. RNAcentral's name for it is "partial 16S ribosomal RNA". It matches the Rfam family "Bacterial small subunit ribosomal RNA", at positions 28 to 507 of the family's 1533-position model. The record is from RNAcentral.